UACGUAGGUGGCAAGCGUUGUCCGGAUUUACUGGGCGUAAAGGGCUUGUAGGCGGUUCGUUAAGUCCGGUGUGAAAUCUCCCGGCUCAACCGGGAGCGGCCAUCGGAUACUGGCGAGCUAGAGGUGGGCAGAGGAAGGCGGAAUUCCCGGUGUAGCGGUGAAAUGCGUAGAUAUCUGGAGGAACACCGGUGGCGAAGGCGGCAUCCUGGACCGAGAUUGACGCUGAGGCGCGAAAGCCAGGGGAGCAAACGGG
This 253-nucleotide ribosomal RNA is filed under the name uncultured bacterium. Its description in RNAcentral is "partial 16S ribosomal RNA". It matches the Rfam family "Bacterial small subunit ribosomal RNA", at positions 524 to 776 of the family's 1533-position model. The record is from RNAcentral.